Long non-coding RNA from Haliotis rufescens (red abalone), 577 nucleotides. RefSeq lists it as uncharacterized. The record is from RefSeq and is a predicted model, not a curated record. The transcript is spliced from 2 exons. NCBI's taxonomy places the organism in Eukaryota, Metazoa, Mollusca, Gastropoda, Lepetellida, Haliotidae.
UAUAACAUAGGUAGCGGAGGAUAUAACAUGGGGAAUGGAGGAUAUAACAUGGAAGUGGGGUAUAACAUGGGGAGGUGUGGUUGUGAGGAUAUAACAUAGGUAGUGGAGGAUAUAACAUGGAGAAUGGAGGAUAUAACAUGGGAGUGGGGGUAUAACAUGGGGAGUGGAGGAUAUAACAUGGGAGUGAAGGAUAUAACAUGGGGAGUGGAGUAUAUAACAUGGGGGAAUGGAGGAUAUAACAUGGGGAAUGGAGGAUAUAACAUGGAAGUGGGGUAUAACAUGGGGAGUGGAGGAUAUAACAUGGAGAAUGGAGGAUAUAACAUGGGAGUGGGGGUAUAACAUGGGGAGUGGAGGAUAUAACAUGGGGAGUGGAGUAUAUAACAUGGGGGAAUGGAGGAUAUAUCAUGGUGAGUGGGGGGUAUAACAUGGGGAGGUGUGGUUAGAUCAAACCAAUUUAGUUUUCCUAUUUUCUUCUGAAUCAAUGUACAAAUAGCCAGGAGGCCACAGUAAAAUGCUGUGGACGUUCAUUUGAGUUUCAUUCCUUGACAAUAAAAGCUUUUAAUAAAGAAAGCGAAAC